Molecule: ribosomal RNA, 501 nt
Filed under: uncultured bacterium
Lineage: Bacteria
Description: partial 16S ribosomal RNA
Rfam family: Bacterial small subunit ribosomal RNA
Source: RNAcentral
AUUGAACGCUGGCGGCAGGCUUAACACAUGCAAGUCGAGCGGGGGAAGGUAGCUUGCUACCGGACCUAGCGGCGGACGGGUGAGUAAUGCUUAGGAAUCUGCCUAUUAGUGGGGGACAACAUCUCGAAAGGGAUGCUAAUACCGCAUACGUCCUACGGGAGAAAGCAGGGGAUCUUCGGACCUUGCGCUAAUAGAUGAGCCUGAGUCGGAUUAGCUAGUUGGUGGGGUAAAGGCCUACCAAGGCGACGAUCUGUAGCGGGUCUGAGAGGAUGAUCCGCCACACUGGGACUGAGCCACGGCCCCGACUCCUACGGGAGGCAGCAGUGGGGAAUAUUGGACAAUGGGGGGAACCCUGAUCCAGCCAUGCCGCGUGUGUGAAGAAGGCCUUAUGGUUGUAAAGCACUUUAAGCGAGGAGGAGGCUACUUUAGUUAAUACCUAGAGAUAGUGGACGUUACUCGCAGAAUAAGCACCGGCUAACUCUGUGCCAGCCGCCGCCGUAA